RNAcentral lists this unclassified non-coding RNA (561 nucleotides) under Bombus terrestris (buff-tailed bumblebee). Its description in RNAcentral is "misc RNA ENSBTSG00005023115.1". Lineage: Eukaryota; Metazoa; Arthropoda; Insecta; Hymenoptera; Apidae. The record is from RNAcentral.
CACAGCGAACAAGAAGUAAACAUUUUUUUCUUUACCUUGCUAUCGGAUUUCACGGAGAGCCUAUUUCGCCAUAUACCAACCGAGUCAGUUCUGUUUUGCCUUCUGCGCCGAUGAUAUCGUUACUACGCGGCGCGACAGUCGUGGCGGUUUAGUUUGUGUAAUAAGUGAAAACAAAUGUCGCGUGAUCGUAGCAUUUCAUCAUAUUUGUAAUUAAUUUGCGGUAAAACGGCGAAUUACGUGUAAUAUACAAUCCAGAUUCAUUCGUCUACUGUUUAGUGUGAAAUUUAUACAUACGGUUAUGGAAAAAAUACAAAUUCUUCCAAUUUUCGUACGCCACUACCGAGACAAUAGCUUCUACCAAUUCUCGAAGAAGAGAAGAUCAUUUUAGAGAGUUGGAGAGCGUCUCUCUCGUUCACGGAGCAAGCUCUUCGAAAUGUCAUUUGGUCGAGAGACUGGAACCUGAGAGGAAAAACCCAAGGCCCGGUUCUAAUCUUUCUAGGAAAUAACGAGGGAACCGGUAUCCGGUCGGAUGAAAAAUGCUCCUUGAAACACGAAGUGGCC